CCUACGGGCGGCAGCAGUGGGGAAUAUUGGACAAUGGCGGGAACCCUGAUCCAGCGAUGCCGCGUGAGUGUAGAAGUAUUUCGGUCGGUAAAGCUCUAUCAGCAGGGAAGAAAGAAAUGACGGUACCUGACUAAGAAGCGCCGGCUAACUACGUGCCAGAAGCCGCGGUAAUACGUAGGGGGCAGGCGUAAUCCGGAUUUACUGGGUGUAAGGGGUACGUAGACGGCGAGGCAAGUCUGAAGUGAAAGGCGGGGGCCCAACCCCUGGACUGCUUUGGAAACUGUAUGGCUGGAGUGCAGGUGAGGUAAGUGGAAUUCCUAGUGUAGCGGUGAAAUGCGUAGAUAUUA
Molecule: ribosomal RNA, 347 nt
Filed under: uncultured bacterium
Lineage: Bacteria
Description: partial 16S ribosomal RNA
Rfam family: Bacterial small subunit ribosomal RNA
Source: RNAcentral